This 600-nucleotide ribosomal RNA is filed under the name Triticum aestivum (bread wheat). Its description in RNAcentral is "partial small subunit ribosomal RNA". The record is from RNAcentral. Lineage: Eukaryota; Viridiplantae; Streptophyta; Magnoliopsida; Poales; Poaceae.
AUGUGGUCUCAUCUUCGCCAGCGCUAUCAGCCCUCCGGUGAUGCUCUCUACUUGUCUGUGGUCUGUCAGGAGCAUGCUCUCCAGCAGGGAGACUCCACUAUUGAUGAGUUCUACACUCAGAGUUCUGCUAUCUGGCGCCAGCUUGACUCCCUUCGCACUACUGUUUGUGGCACUUGCCCGUGUUGCCAGAGUGUGAGAUCAGACUUGGAGUUUCAACGUGUCUAUGAGUUCUUGUCACGGCUUCGUGGGGAGUUUGAGCCUCGACGUGCUCAGUUGUUUGCUCGUGGCCGUGUUCCUAUUUCUGAGGUGCUUUCUGAGCUUCGUGCUGAGGAGACUCGCCUCCGUGGUGCUGGUUUGCUUCAGGUUCCCUCCGUGCUCGCUGCUCGAGCUGCUACUCCACCACUGUCUUCUCGCUCCAGUGCUCCGCCGCUACUGCCCACUCCUCCGGGUAGCCGAUCUCGUCCUCGUACUCAUUGUGACUACUGCAACAGGGAUGGUCACCCUGAGUCUGACUGCUUCAAGAAGAAGCGUGACAUGCGUAAUAGGGAGCGCAAUUCUUCUUCUGGGACUCAUGCUUCUUCCUCGACGCCGUCUACUGUC